GAGCGAUUCAUGCCUACGUCAAGCAAACACAAGCCCUGACACCAAGGAGAGAAAUGCUCUAUGCAGACAAGUUAACCUGACAUCCUGUAACAACCUGCUCAGUGCUUACCAGAGUCUUGUAUGCUGCUGCUAUUUGGACUUCUGAUGAAAACAACGUUGAUAACACACAGAUGUGUCAAUUGUUGCUGAGCCACGCUGCACCAGGCCAAGGCCUUUUCAGCUUCUCACGCUGCCUUGCCAGAGUGGAGCUGGGGCUGCACAAGGAGCUGGGAGGGGACAGAACCAGGAAAGCUGACUCAAAAUGGCCAAAGAUAUAUGUCAUACCAUGAGUAUGGGUGGACUGCUCAAUGGACGAAGAACUGGCUGCAGGAUCAAGUCCUGAAAGUGGUGGACAGAGGCUCCAUGUCUGGAUGGAGAUUGGUGACAAGUGGUAUUUCACAGGGGUUGGUGCUGGCGCCGAUACUCUUUAAUAUCUUCAUCAGUGACACUGUCAGUGAGGUUGAGUUCACCCUCAGAAAGUUUGCUGAUGACAGCAAGCUGUGGAGUGCAGUUGAUUUUCAAGGUAAGUCUGGAUAAGGCCCUGGGCAACCCAAUCUAGCUGUGGAUGUUUAUGUUUAUUGUGGGGGAGUUAGACUAGAUGACCUCUAAAGGUCCCUUGCAACUCUAAGGAUUCUAUGAUUCUUUGAUUCUAUGAGUUAGUCUCCUGGGCUCUUCCCCAGUCCUAACAUUGAGAUCACUAAAAUAGUGCUGUGAAAUUCCAACGCUCGAAAAAAUUAUUUACUUCUUCCAAAAUAAGACAUUUGAGAGCUCAUAUAUAUCACAUUUCCAACAGCUAAUACUGAUACUGCAUUAAGUAUAAUUAUAUUGUGUGUCUCAAUUGCACCGAUUCACUCUCAGAUUAAAUAUUUAAUAUAUUCACAGUAAAGUCUAUUCUUCCAAAUUUUGCUUAGUCAUAACUGCAUAGGAAAAAGUUAUAUCAAGAUCAUAUUUAGCCUUACCUACUACGCUUUCAACUAAAACAGCCUAAGGCUCAAAAGAAAAAUAGACAACUAGAAUUUUCUUAUAACAGACAUUCAGUCUUACAAAACCUGAGAAGAAUCAAUAACUUCUAUUCUCUUCCAGUUAUCAAAAUAUUAUAUUUAAAAAAAAAGAAGUCAAGCACUUUUCAGAAACUUUGCUAUAAAAUAUGCUCCUUACAAUAAACAAACAUUACAGGCUGAAAGUGUUCACUCCUCUGUUCAUCAUCAAGAUCAGAAAAGAUAACUUCUGUGAUUAAUACUGCAGUAAUAAAACUGGUACUACUUGAUUUUUGCAUAAAAAAGAACAAACAAGGAUUAAAAUGUAAUUACUGUGUUAGAACUAGAGUAGGAUAAAGUCAAUAUAAUUUUAUAGCUAAUAACUCAAACUAUAAAAUAUGAGGUUGUGACUAUUCUUAAAGAUAUUUGUUAGAAUAUUUCUUAUUGAAGCGUAAAUGGAGUCACUCAUAAUGUACAGAAAACCUAUUUCAAAUAAAAUAUGAAAAGUAAUUGAAAUAUCUUAUUUGAGAUCAAGCAGAGAACUCCAGACAAAUAGGAGCACAAGUAGAAGCACAAACUUCUGAUGCGAUACUUCUCUUAGAGCAAGUGGAUCAGUGUUGCUGGAUCAUAGGAGAGUUUGUGUUCAUAGGGACCUCAGGUGAUGAAAUCUUAAAGCAGGGCUAGCUGUGAGGUCAGACCACGCUGGAGUACUUGAGCACCUGAGAAUGGCGCAGAAGAAGUGGGAAAGAAAAGCACACAGAAACUCAGAGUUGGUUGCGAAGAAUGGAUGCUAUAUAAUGGCUUAAUUCCCUGAAGUAAACAACAGGUUUCCUAGGCUAUGGUGUGGUAGAGACAAGCCCUAAUACUAGAUAAAAAACAAAAUAAGAAUCUUGAAUGAUGGCAUAAUGCUCACCUAGGAAAAGAGGUUAAGGUGUGAACUGCAGAGCACUGCAGUAAAGAAAGAACAUUAAGAUAAAAGAAGGAUAAAAUAAUAAUAAUAAAAUAAUAAUUAGUAGGUGAGAGGAAUUCAAAAAAAUGUUAUGUACUAGUAAAGUUCUCAAUAUCAUUUUCAUACCUGCCAAUCACCACAUUCUCAAUGAUAUGUGGAUUUUCCAAGCUAGUUUGAUAGUGCUUAUCAAACUGUUUUCCCAUCCAGAUCGUCAGGUAGAUAGACGUAUAUAAAUUUGAUUUCAAAAAGAGAAGAGAAUGAAGAAAUAACAGCUAUUGUUAUGCCUGAAGUCAGGUAUCAUCAACAUCAACAAAGCAGUUGCCAUCACUUGAAAUUUUAAAGCACUUCUAUUCCUGAGAUAAUAAAAACUAUUUUCAUAGUUUCAGCUCAGAUUUAUCUUACAAUUUAUUAAAUUGGGAGUGAGAUUGUAUUUAGCCAGUAUUUUUAUUGUUGUUGUUGUUAUUAUUAUUAUUAUUAUUGAAAUGUUAUUGUGAUUCUACAAAAAUAAAGUGCUGUUCAGUUGUUUACUUUCCCAAAUGAGCUGCUGGACUUCUGCUUUAUCUUUUCUGAGCGUGGUAUAAUCAGUAGAGAUAAAGGAACUCUGAGCAUACAAUAUGAAACAGAACAAGCACAUAAAACAGCUACUUUCUAAAACAUGGCCAGACAUAAGUCUAAGAUUUUAAACUCAUGCACAAAGACGUCAGCAGUGUUUUAUGUAGAUGUCACAGAAAAUGCUUAUACAUAUACUUCCAAAAUAAUUUGCUAAAUUGAAUACAUAUCCAUAGCAGAACUUCCAAAAUAGCUGUAAACUCAAUACAAAUAUUUAAACAGAACAGUUCAAUGUGCUUCUGACAGAUGAGUUGAAAACUGAAAUUCUCUCCAAAUCUUCUCAAGAUUCUACAAUUCUUUCUACAAUUCAUGCUACUAUGAAUAACUAAUGCUGUUUUUGGAAUGCUAUUUGUUUCUGAAAUACAAUUCUAUGAAUUGAGCAUUGUUGGAGGUGAUCCGUUGUUGUCCUGUAAAUUCUGCAGUGAAUGAACUGUCAAAGAAAUUGAACUAAAAACACUCACUCACAUACAGGAAUACAACAACAAAAAAGAAAUGGGGGAAACAGGGACCUCAAGAGGAGCAUACUUAGUAUUUUGUUAUAAAUGAAAAGAGUAUAUCAGCACAGCAUAGAACAGCCUAAAGAUUUUGCUCUAACAAGAUCCAAUGUUCCUUAAUGUACAGGUAUAAGAAAAAUGGGUCUAUAUUGAAGAGCUUUCAUUAGAAAGGUCUGCUAACAAAAUCCCGUUUGACUAAACAAAGAAAGCAAACAUCAUUUGAAAAUAAAAGUUUUAUCAUACCAAUUGUUGGAAAAAAGGCCUCAGCUAGAGUGACACAUGCUAGAAUAUUUAACAGAAACAGAAACUUCAUAAAGAAAGAAGCAGCAUUACUUUUAAAAAUACAAUAUUCAGUGUGGCAAGAAGCAUGCUUUGCAGGGAAAAGUUAGGAAGAUGCAUAAUUCCCCCCCACACACAUAUUAAUAUAAAAGUGAAUCACCUCAAAUGACAAAUAAGAAUAAGCAAAGUAGCAAUUGUGUAGUAAAAACAUUUCCUGGAGUAGAAUUAAGGGAAAUUGAUGUACUUUUACAUGACUACCUCAAAGAAUGGAGAGGAGUAUUUGGCAAUACUCCUCCCAUUGCAACACUUAGAAGCUAUUAGUUAAGCUCUGAACUGUAAUUGAAGGACAGGCCUCAUAUGAUCAGAAAACACCCAUAAGCAAAAACAGCUGCAGGGCAAUCAGGAGGAGAGCGGAAGGAAGAGGGCAGUAGAAAGGGCAGGGCGCAGAAAGAGCCAGGCCAGGCCAAGCCACCUCCCCAGUCAGUAUUUAGUAUAGAUAUGGGAUUGCUUAAAAAGUACAGAGCUAGGCAAGUUGUAGUCAUCAUCUUGGACUUCUUAAGGCUAGAACUUGUAAGUGCUGUCACAGCUUUGGGGAGUAUCAUAGAAUCACAGAAUUAGCAAGGUUGGAAAAGACCUACAAGACCAUCCAGUCCAACCAUCCACCUACCACCAAUAUAACCUCAGUAAACCAUGUCUCUCAACACAACAUCUAAACGUUUCUUGAGCACAACUUACUACACUAAUUUACUUAUGAAAGCAUAAUUUUGCCUGCUGAUGUCACUGCAUGGAUGAUGGAUUUGUGAAAAUCUGAGGAUUACAAAGCAUCACAAAAAAACACUUGGCAAGAAGUAUAUCGUAUUCCAGAUUCCCAAAAUCCAGAGUUUAUUUUUGAAUCUAGCAGGAGCAAUAGCUCUUACCAAGCUAGACUUGGGUCCUCCAACCAAUGUGGUUAAGCCAGAGUAUUAUGUAGAAAUAAACAAGGACAUUUCUGAGCAGACCUGGGCAGUUUACUCAAUAAGGAAUGUGCAUCAUCUGUUAAAUUCUAAUCAACAUGUUAUUUUGACCGUGUGCUAAAAGCUGGGAUGAAUUCAAAGAAAUAUUUAUAAAAUCUAGAGAGGUCUGAAAAAAAAAAGAGUAUAAAAGUCUA
Numida meleagris (helmeted guineafowl) is the source of this 4494-nucleotide long non-coding RNA. RefSeq lists it as uncharacterized. The transcript has 3 exons. The record is from RefSeq and is a predicted model, not a curated record. Lineage: Eukaryota; Metazoa; Chordata; Aves; Galliformes; Numididae.